This 432-nucleotide ribosomal RNA is filed under the name uncultured bacterium. RNAcentral describes it as "bacterial SSU rRNA". It matches the Rfam family "Bacterial small subunit ribosomal RNA", at positions 358 to 782 of the family's 1533-position model. The record is from RNAcentral.
GGAAUUUUGCGCAAUGGGCGAAAGCCUGACGCAGCAACGCCGCGUGGGUGAUGAAGGUCUUCGGAUCGUAAAACCCUGUCGUCAGGGACGAAGGUUGUGUUCCUAAUAGGGAUGCAGCUUGACGGUACCUGGAGAGGAAGCCCCGGCUAACUCUGUGCCAGCAGCCGCGGUAAUACAGAGGGGGCAAGCGUUAUUCGGAAUUAUUGGGCGUAAAGGGCGCGUAGGCGGUGGUUUAAGUGAGAUGUGUAAUCCCCGAGCUUAACUUGGGAACUGCAUCUCAGACUGGAUCGCUAGAGUGCUGGAGAGGGUGGUGGAAUUCCACGUGUAGCGGUGAAAUGCGUAGAGAUGUGGAGGAACACCAGUGGCGAAGGCGGCCACCUGGACAGUAACUGACGCUGAGGCGCGAAAGUGUGGGGAGCAAACAGGAUUAGA